CCCACUAGAGGACAAGGCUCUGGGGGAUAGUAUCCCACUAGAGGACGAGGCUAUGGAGGAUAGCAACUUUGAGAAAGCUAAGGUUGUAGAGGUGUAGUCCCACCAGAGGAUGAGGCUUUGAGGGAUAGCAGCUUUCGGCAUAGCCCACUAGAGGACAAGGUUCUGGGGGAUAGCAACUUUGAGAAAGCUGAGGAUGCAGAG
This 201-nucleotide long non-coding RNA is filed under the name Olea europaea (common olive). RNAcentral's name for it is "long non-coding RNA (OEUR_LNC003700)". Lineage: Eukaryota; Viridiplantae; Streptophyta; Magnoliopsida; Lamiales; Oleaceae. The record is from RNAcentral.